UACAGAGGUCCCGAGCGUUGUUCGGAUUCACUGGGCGUAAAGGGUGCGUAGGUGGCAUGGUAAGUUUGAUGUGAAAGCUCAGGGCUUAACCCUGAAAUGGCAUUGAAUACUAUCGUGCUGGAGGUUUGGAGGGGGGACUGGAAUUCUUGGUGUAGCAGUGAAAUGCGUAGAUAUCAAGAGGAACACCAGUGGCGAAGGCGAGUCCCUGGACAACACCUGACACUGAGGCACGAAAGCUAGGGGAGCAAACAGG
This 253-nucleotide ribosomal RNA is filed under the name uncultured bacterium. Its description in RNAcentral is "partial 16S ribosomal RNA". It matches the Rfam family "Bacterial small subunit ribosomal RNA", at positions 524 to 776 of the family's 1533-position model. The record is from RNAcentral.